GGUUGCGAUCAUACCAGCACUAAUGCACCGGAUCCCAUCAGAACUCCGCAGUUAAGCGUGCUUGGGCGAGAGUAGUACUAGGAUGGGUGACCCCCUCGGAAGUCCUCGUGUUGCAACCC
Molecule: ribosomal RNA, 119 nt
Filed under: Helianthus annuus (common sunflower)
Lineage: Eukaryota; Viridiplantae; Streptophyta; Magnoliopsida; Asterales; Asteraceae
Source: RNAcentral